Long non-coding RNA from Felis catus (domestic cat), 5536 nucleotides. RefSeq lists it as uncharacterized. The record is from RefSeq and is a predicted model, not a curated record. The transcript is spliced from 5 exons. NCBI's taxonomy places the organism in Eukaryota, Metazoa, Chordata, Mammalia, Carnivora, Felidae.
UCUCCUGAUUGUGCUCUCUCUCUCUCUCUUUCAAAAAUAAAUUAAUUAAGAAAAUAUUACAAAAAUAUUCCCAGGAUUAGUCAUUAAGUUUUUUAAAUGCCUGAUAGAGAGAAUUUAUUGUGUGACCAUCUCUGUUGAAAAUGAAAGCAAAAAGUCAUGUUUACAUAUGUUCAAAUGAUAAUUAUAGGUCAGAUACUAAUAUGAAAAACAAAUAGCCUAUCCUAUUUUUUAAAUCUUUUGGAUUUAAGUCAUAUAAAUGAUACACAUAAUAAUACUUGUUUCAGUGUAAUGUUAAUGGAGACUUAAGAGUCUUUAAAUAUCUGGUAGUGUUUUCAGUUUCUUAGCUAGGACAUGUGUCUUCAUUACUGGAUUCACAGGUCAAAGGAUGUGGUGAGAGGACCGACACAUGGACGCUUUGAAAAUUAAAAAAAAAAAAAGUAUAAGUACUUCUACAAGGAAAUCAAAUAUCUUAAUGGCAAAAAUGGUCACACACUUAAAAUAAUGGUUGAUACUUAUAGAGUGUCUUUUCUUUACAUGUGAAUUAUAACCAAAAAAAAAAUGGUUGCUUUAUGUUUCAGACAGAAAAUCUUAGAAAUAGAAAUGUUUCAUUUGGCUGCUUUGGUGACAGACCCAGAAAUGAAUGUUGAAGCUGUAUAAGAGCUUGGGACUUUGGCAGGAAUCCUCUCCCUUUCCAUUUUAGGUCAAUCUCUGCCUCUAGAAACGGACUAAACCUUCUCUGGUCCUCCUGGAAUUAUCAGCCUGUGACUUCCAGCCCGUAUGUCCUCUGCCCUGAGUGGUACUUUAACCAGAAUCAUGAAAAAUUCACUAAUGAAAGCAAAUAAAAGGGCGUGGGUAUUUUAUUUCAAUCCUUUUGACCCUGUAAAGUAUCCAGUGGAUUUCUGUCCUGGGUUCAUGCAGGGGUAUAGGAAAGUAACUCUCUGGCUAGACCUUAAACUCCAUGUGGGGACACGUGGUCUAACUUCCUUGCUUUCCCUGUCUCACUACCAUAUUUCCCUGUGUGCUCCCAGAAGCUGCUCAACAGUUAGAGCUGACAGACUUGAAUUCUACCCUGAGGCUUAAGAAGUCAUCUCUGGGCAACUCUGCUGUCGCAUGGCUAUUUCAGAGCUAUGGCUAUUUCAGAAAGGGACAAAGGAAAGCCCUCUUUUGCCACGUGUGUUGUUCCAGGGUGAGAAGGCUAGAGGAUGUGGAAAGGAUGCUUUGCUCUUUAAGUGCCUGCCUUUCAGCACAAAGCAAACUGCUGCUCUUUUCUUUAUAAUCCACUUUAGUAAAGAUACAUAAUAGACAUUAUAUAUAAUGCAUGUAAAAAUUCAGAAAACCGAAAAGUUCUCUGACAGUAACACCUUGCAACUUGAUGCUAGAGGAAAUAUCCUUGUAAGAUGAACAUGGUGCCUUUUGUAGAAAUUGCUCCUUCAUUCCCAAAGUUUAACUGGCAGGCGUAGCAUUUCAUUCCAUCUCAUAUAGUGACUGAUUGCUCGGGGCAUCAUAGUCCUUUAAAAGUCAUGCCUUUACUGCUUUUCAGUAAUUGCAUUCUGUGUGUGCAAUGAUCUGAAAGCUAUUUGAGGGAAAAGAGCAUAAUAUUACAUAUAUGUUAGAAAAAGGUGCCAAACCUCUGCCUCAUUUCCUGAUAUUUGAUGACUCCAAUGGUGCUGAUUGAAUAACAGCACGGCCACAUUGCUAAUUUGCAUUACUCUGGUUUGCAAUUUAUACAUACUUUUAUUUAAAAAGAAAAAAUAAACCUAUUUGAGUCUUUCAUUCAUGGUUAAUUAGGUGAUUGAAAGGGUCAAUCGAUGAUUUACCAAAUAAAUUUCUAAACCACUGCAGUGUUACUUGCAAAGCAUCCAGCAGUCAAUAAAUGAAUUAAAGGAGAAAAUAUUUAAUGCUGAACAGAGCAUACAUUAAAAUAUAAUAAUCCAGGAAAAUGCUCCUUAUACAUGAGGAGCAAACUGGCGGUUUAUUAGAGCCAAGGUUAAAAGUCCAUAGGGAGAAUAGCAGGAGAAGAAUGUAGAGGCCAUACCAAUAGGAGUACAGUUCCAAUUAAUUUAUUGACAUAAUUAGCACAUGGUUGUUAAUAACAUUGCAGAAGCAGUUGGCAAGUAUGUGUACACAUGCACCAUUUGAAUGAAUUCAAAAGAACCCUGUACUUAUCAUAAUUAAAUUAUUAGUUCUGGGAAAGCAACGCAGACUAUAGAGGCCAUAGCAGCAGGCCAAAAGUCAUGCAUCCAAUUUAUUUUGUCACUAAAAUAAAAUGUCUGGAAUUUUUAUAUCUUAUCAAGCUGAAUCUAUAGAGCAGAAAUUAUUACGACUAUCAGGAUUGAGUGGUCCACUUGUAACUUCAGCAUUUGUGAAACCAAGGACCCGAUCACCUCACGGUUUAUAAAAAAGAAGCAGGGAAACAUAAAAAUAAAAUUUUUUGAAUGAAAUAAGUCUCUUGGCCAAGCAAAUUCUCCACUUUGAUAUCUUUGCUCCUGGAUAAACAUGUAAAAAGGAGAGCUAAAAGAAUGAAGUUUCAGAUUUUCUAAUGACUACACAGAAUUCAAUGCAUAGUACAGAGAAUAAUCCUGAUUAUAGUUAAAAUUAUAGAUUUUUAAAAAACUUUCUCACCUUUUUCCUUAAUUAUGUCUUUAAUGCUAUUUGCUUUAAUCCUGCACUGCUUUUGUUCACCUGGAGAGAAGGAUGCAGACUUUAAUCACGUGGAUUUCAUCCUAGCGGAGCUGUUGUGUAUUGGACUUGUUAAAGUCAAUGAAACUUGUAAGUAAACAAACCCAAAAAUGAAGAAGAAAGAAUAUUCUUUAGGGGAAAAUUCAGACUCUGGCAAUUUUAACAACAACAACAAAAAUGGAAACAUGCAUGAAAAGAUAAAUUCUUCACCAUAUGCUUCCUGCAGAGGGAAAGUGCAUCUUGGAACAUUCUGGAUGAUAUGGAUCUGCAUAUAACUGGGUAGUACUAUGAAAAAACUGAAGGAAAGAUGAAGUUAAUUGUCCAAGUUAAAACAGCUGAAAAUGUAAUUGAUAUAACAUCAGUGAGACUUUGCUGGCAAAAUUGAUUCAAAUCAAACCAGAAAAAUUCAGCCUCAAGAACUGAAAAUGAGCUAAAAGAUGGUUCUGGUGAGCAGGUGCCUGUCCCGCGGUGUCCGACAAGACUCGUAGGUUCCCACCCAUUUCUUCAGCAAAUGUCCAGGAAGCUCUUCAUAUGUUCAAAAGGAGAAUCUUUCCUUUCAGAAUCUUGAGUGAGUGAGAACCUGGGUAGUGAUGUUCACUCUCCGUGUCAAUGACCAGGUAUGUUGCCAGUAUGCUAAUAUUCCAUUUGAGGAAUCUCCUGUUUUAACACAAUCUUCAUAGGAUUUAGGGGAUUUCCACCAAGACUAAGACUCUUUUUUACUUAGAGGCACAUUGUACAACACACCAAAAUCACUAUAACCUCCUGCUCCCCUACAAAAUCAAAGGUGUUUUUUGCACACUUUACAGUGGGAACGUGCUUUUUCCCUUUCAGGUCUAGAGUCCCAAAUCACAGGGCAGUGGUGGUUGAAAUGACUUGGACAUGAAUUUAAGGUAUAAAGUACCAUCUGUUUUAAGCAGUUAGGGUAAAGAUAAUGUGAGAGACAGUUUCCAAGAUAGAUGGUUAUUGGAAAACAACAUUUGGUUGAGGAAUUGCUAAAACAGCACAGUCGGGUCAUUUCCAGUCCAUCCAGUGUUCUGUGACAGAAGGAGAACAAAAUGGUGUGACAACAGAAGUGGUGCCACUUUCCUGCCCGUGGUUUAGCUCUGGAGAUUGGUGUGUUGUAUUACAUCAAGAGAACACAUCACAGGCCUACUCUGUGAGUCAUCAUCAAACAAGACCCAGCACUGGUCAGAAAUGCAGCCAUCUGCCUUCUGAUGCCCUGAGCCCCUAUCCCUCAAUGGCACGAAAUCAGUUUCUAAGGUGUUGGUACUGGACUUCAGUUAUGGAGCUUCUACAUUUUAUUAGACAGUGUCCCCAAACGUCUUGGCAGACAAUCAAAUAAUGGAAGGUACCCAGUGUCCUAAUUCGGAUCUGAGCCAUGUUAACCUCCCAUCCCUCUGUAUUUGUGCAUUCUCCUUUCAGCCAUUUUUACUGUUGUCUUUUUCAGAAUUAUAGAGAUGUGUGAAGGUCUUAUUUUCUUGUUUGUUUGCUCCUCUUAAGUUCAUCCUCUCUGGUAUUAAAUGUGUGUGAUUCUCUCUCUCUGAAUUCCCCAGCAUUGGCUGACCUCUGUUUAAAAUACAGAGACCCAAAGUGAAAACGCCCCUGCAGAUCCAAAACAUCAGUCACGCAGAGGCUUUGUUUUCUUUCGCCUUGGUUAGAGGAGAGCUUUUUGUCCACAGCCCAAGUGAUUCCUGCACGUCUGUUCCCAUCUCCUCUUGGCAAUGUCUUUAUGAUGAAGCGUCCACUUUCACCAAACCCUCGUGGUCCCUGCUGCUCUGCUUCCCAUUAACCGUGUGUGUUUCUGCUUGUUUGUCUCCAGAUGUAUUCGUUAGCAUUUUUCCAGUUGAAUCUCAUCCUGCUAUUUCUUGCUCAUAUUGCUAACCUCUCCAGGGGCCCAUAUGCUUCCACAGCUCUUGUGCCAAAAUCACAGAGCAUCUUAAUACAAACCUUCCUUCAAUGUCUUCACACCAGCCAAAACCACAGGCUCAAUGGACUGCCAGUCUGAUUUACAACAGGCUCUGCUGCAGCAUAAUAGGACAGUCACCAGGUUUGGCACUGAAUCAUAACCAUGCUAUUUCCUAGUUAUGCAACCUUAGGCAAGGUGGUUCCACCCUUGAGCCUCAGUUUCCUCAUGUCCAUUCUAAAAAUGGUAACUGUCUUGCAUAGUCAGAAUGUGAGAUGAUGGUUGCUAAGUAUUCCCUAAGUUCCUUGGCACAGUGGGAGGCACCUCUGUCUCCAGGGAUAGCAGAAAAGAACUGAGAUUGUUGGUAAGCACCCAAGGAAAAGACUAUGCCACACUUAGACAAAACUGGGGCAUUAGUGAAAUGACUGUCUUUAAAAAGUAAACUGUGAAGGCAAAUUGGUAAAAAAAAAAUGAUGAGCACAGAAAAUUGGCAUUUGGGGCAAUGUUGUUCUCCUAAAUCAUUUGAUAUUUGUUUCUUGCGGACAGGCUUCUAGUUCUUUGAACACACUGUGCUUGUCCACACCUGCAUGUCUAAAUAGCAUUAUCUUUCUAUACAAUGCCUGUCCUUUCCCAUUAUGUCUUCCCGCCUAACUUUUCUUCAGCCUUCAAGAGUCAGGCCAGGCAUCCCCUCCUGCAGGAAGCUGCCUUAACCUCCUCAGGCUGAAUUAAACACUUAUGUCUGUGCUUCCACACCAGCCUCUGCAAAUCUCUCAAAGCACAAAUCACAUUACUGUGAUUUGGGCUGCACUGUCUAUCCCUGCUCUUGUCUGUAAACUCUGCAAAGCAAGGGCUACCUUCCACUUUUGUCUGUACUCCAGAGCCAGAACUAUUUGAGAUACUAAAUGAACACUGAUGAAGGCAUGUGCUAAUGAAUGAGUGAAUUAAUGCACCCAC